Molecule: long non-coding RNA, 11079 nt
Filed under: Mytilus galloprovincialis (Mediterranean mussel)
Lineage: Eukaryota; Metazoa; Mollusca; Bivalvia; Mytilida; Mytilidae
Source: RNAcentral
GCUGUUGAAUAUUAAUCCUCUCAAAAAAAGGUUUGAAGAAAUUUUCUUUUUAUUUAUGAAAUCUGAAAUGAGAAAAAUUUAACCCCCCCCCUUUUUUUUCACAUCCCGUUUCCUUUUCAAAACUGAUAUCAAUUCAAAUUUCUAAUGGAGUUUGCAACAAUAACUACUCAUUUAAAUACAUCAUAAAAUAUUAAGAUGUAAAAAAACUGCUUGUUAUCACUGAAUGGUAAAGAUUAUUUAAAUUUAUCAGUUGGUAGUAAAAAGUGUAUAUACAUUGUAUAUUGUAUAUACAAAAGAUUUAAGUUGAUUCUGGACAAAGAAAAGAUAACUCCAAUUAAAAAAAAUUCUUGCUAUUGACAAUAUUGUGCAAUAGGAUAUUUCUUGCUUACUAUUCUGGACAAAGAAAGAUAACUCUAAUUAAAACAAAAUUUGCUAUUUCACAAUAUUGUGCAAUUAGAUAUUUCUUGCCAUUGCACAAUACUGUGCAAUUGAAAAGACUUGCAUUGCACAAUACUUAAUAUAAUAAUUUUAGAUCCUGAUUUGGACCAACUUGAAAACUGGGCCCAUAAUCAAAAAUCUAAGUACAUGUUUAGAUUCAGCAUAUCAAAGAGGCCCAAGAAUUCAAUUUUUGUUAAAAUCAAACUUAGUUUAAUUUUGGACCCUUUGGACUUUAAUGUAGAAUUUGAAAUUUGAAACAGGACCAAAAAUGAAGAAUCUACAUACACAGUUAGAUUUGGCAUAUCAAAGAACCCCAAGGAUGCAAUUUUUGAUGAAAUCAAAAAAGUUUAAUUUUGGACCUUUGGACCUUAAUGUAGACCAAUUUGAAAACUGGACCAAAAAACUUCAAUAAUCAAGAAUCUAAGUACAUUUUUAGAUUCAACAUAUCAAAGAACCCAACCGAUUCAUUUUUUGUCAAAAUCAAACUAAGUUUAAUUUUGGACCCUUUGGACCUUAAUGUAGACCAAUUGAAACAGGACCAAAAGUUGAGAAUCUACAUAUACAGUUAGAUUCGGCAUAUCAAAGAACCCCAAUUAUUCAAUUUUGAUGAAAUCAAACAAAGUUUAAUUUUGACCCUUUGGGCCCCUUUUCCUAAACUGUUGGGACCAAAACCCCAAAUCAAUACCACCCUUCCUUUUAUGGUCAUAAGCCUUGUGUUUAAAUUUCAUAAUUUGUAUUUAUUAUACUAACAUUUAUAGUGCGAAAACCAAGAAAAAUGCUUAUUUGGGUCCCUUUUGGCCCUAAUUCCUAAACUGUUUGGGUCUAAACUCCCAAAAUCAAUACCAACCUUCCUUUUGUGGUCAUAAACAUUGUGUUUAAAUUUCAUAGAUUUCUAUUUACUUAACCUAAGGUUAUUGUGCAAAAACCAAGAAAAAUGCUUAUUUGGGCCCUUUAUUGGCCCCUUAUUCCUAAACUAUUGAACCAAAACUCCCAAAAUCAAUCCCAAUCUUUUUUUGUGGUCAUAAACCUUGUGUCAAAAUUUCAUAAUUUCUAUUAACUUAAACUAAAGUUAUGGUGCGAAAACCAAGAAAAUGCUUAUUUGGGCCCUUUUUGGCCCCUUAUUCCUAAAAUGAUGGGACCAAAACUCCCAAAAUCAAUACCAACCUUCCUUUUAUGGUCAUAAACCUUGUGUUAAAAUUUCAUAGAUUUCUAUUCACUUUUACUAAAGUUAGAGUGCGAAAACUAAAAGUAUUCGGACGCCGGACGACGACGACGCCGACGCCGACGCCAACGUGAUAGCAAUAUACGACGAAAAUUUUUUCAAAAUUUGCGGUCGUAUAAAAAAUCAUCUAAACGUUUUAAUUACGCUGUGUUGUGAAGGGAAUAUUAAGCUUCUCAAUGAUCAAAAUUGGUGUUUGUCAAACUGCUAUAUAACCAGUGUAAUUUUUCUGAUAAAAUGAUUGGUUCAAAAUUUUUGAAAUUUUUAUAUUUUUGUCAAAGGGUCAAAGUAAAUACUUUGUAAAAAUUUUACAAAAAUUAAACGAGCCAAAUUAAUUUUAAUGAAGGUGUUGGGUACCACCUUAAAUUCCUAAAUGAGACUAUUGAAAAGUUGGCAGGUAUGAUCUUUCAUACUUCUUUCACAAGUACAUAUUUCAUUGUACAUUGUAUUCAUAAUAUUAAGUGUAAAUAAAAAUAAAUAUAAGAAAGACAUACAAAUGUAUAUAAACUGAUUGUGGUGUUAAUUACUGAAGAACACAUUCAUCCUUUUCUUUUUUAGAAUGCUUAUUCAGAUGAGCUGAGGAAUUUCCAGCACUAGAAGCAGGUUUUGCAAUUGAACUUUGCAUUGUGGGAGUAGUUGAACUUUUCACUGGAUGGGGAUAAACUAAGGGACCUCCCAUGUGCAUCGGUAGUGAGGCAGCACUUCCUGGAUAAACUAUCUGUUGAUUCACUGAGGGUUGAACCAUGGGUUGAUACACUAAGGGUUGGACCAUGGGUUUUUCUACUGAUUGUUGAACCAUGGGUUGAUUCACUUGGGGCUGAACCAUGGGUUUCUCAACAUCGACUGGUUCCAUGGGUUUCGCCACUUGGACUGGUUCCUUGUCUGUGUACAUGAUGAUGUACUCUGGGUAACAUUGGUUCCUAUCAAACACAACAAAGAUUUGUGGAUCUUCAACUUUAUCCACACAUGAAUCAUACAGCUUAUGAAUCUGUUCAGGAAUUUCUGGAGGUCGACGUAGGGAUGGAUUCCCCUCUGUGAACUUUCCAACUAAAACUUUGGCUCUGAAUAAAAAUCGCAUAUCUGUAAGGGAAUCAGCUUUUGUAUAACUAUGACUUAAUCUGGCACGGACAGCAAAGUAGGAACCUUCACCGUAUACUGUAGCAUUGCGACCACUAGUUCUAAAGUCAAAAUUAUUGGUACAAAUACCACGGCAUGUAUCCAAGGAAUCUGUGCCAUGAAAUAAAUCUCUCUCAUCAAUAUUUUGACCACGGCCAUCUUGUUCAGCAUCAGCUAACAUGAGCUUCUUCUUUCUGCAAAACAAAAAAAUCCCAGUUUUUAGAAUGUUAUAUACUGUUAAGAAUUAUUCACAUGCUUUUUACUUAAUAUUAAGAUUAUUUAUAUUGUAUCCUGUCCGAUUUAAUUUAGUGUUGAUUUUGCCUGUUUGUUUUUUUGUCAGUUAAAUCAUUGGCAUGUAUCUUUUUCGCAUUUCAUAGCUAUGUUCAACGCACUUAGAUGAAAAGUUAAUUAUUUAAACUAAUGCUAAAUUUAACAGUAAAAUGUCUUUCGAAAAAUUAGACAAUCACUUAAAUUUACCAACAUACAGUAUAAUCUUUUUAGAAAAACCUAAUGAGCAUGAUGUAGGAAAAGUUCAUAACGUACAAAUUUAUUCUCUUCCAUUCUUAAAUUGUUCCCUAUUUACCCUUCCAGAUUUAGAGCACCUGAGAUCACCUAAGUUUUUUUAGGGAUUGGUGUUGAUCAGUCUUUAGGUUUUUAUGUAAUGUGUUAUGUACUUUUGUUUGUUUGUUUGUUUGUCUGUCUGUCUGUUUGUUUUUUUUUUCUUUUUUGGCCAUGGCAUUUAUUUCAAUUUAUGAGUUUGAAUGUCCCUCUGGUAUCUUUCAACUUUCUAUUAAUUUUUUUUAAAGACUUAAAGAAAACUAAAUUAAUUUGAUUAAACUAUAUAUAGCUACAAUAACUUCUAAAUAUUUUAUAAUUCCAAAAAUUGGACCUGAACUAGAGGUGAUGUACACAUAAACACUUGUAUUUCAAUUUUGAUAGCAUCUACUGAAAUAAUUGCAAUAAUUAAUCUCACAUGUUGUCCCAUUUUCAAAAAUAGUAAAAAUGUAUGCAUGCAAAAGUUUCUAAAUUUACAGUAUCAAAUAAAGCUAAAUGGCUUUAAAUUUCAUGCGACAAUACAAAAUUUAACACUGAAAAAUUAGUUCUACAUUAAAUAAUUAGAAAUAAAAAAAUAUACUCACAUGUCGUAUUCAACCCAAAUUUUCCUGUUCUGAAUUCUAUAAAUAAAUUUGAAAUCAAAUUUUGAAGGGUCCAUAGAAUCAAAUAAUGACUUCAUGACAUCUUUGUACUCCUUCCCUGUCUUAUCAAGCUCUACUGGUUCAAAGUCAUGGGAACAGUCCCAGUUGUAGAAAUGUGCUGGCUUUGGUGUACUCAUAGCAGAUGGGAACGGUAUACUGUCUAAACUAAAAUGGAAAAUACACGAUUGAAAUCUGUCUUUCAGUUAUAAGUUAAGAUAUACGUAACUUUCUUACAAUUUGAAUAUUCAGCAUAGCUUUUGUAACAUUGUAAGUAAGUUAUGUUGUCAACGUAUAUUUGUUCCCCCUAACAGAAGUUCCACUGGAAACUUUGUUAUAAACAAUGUCAUAAUACCUAUUCCUGUUGGAACAAAUAUUCUAUACUAUUUAUAUAGGAACAUAUACUGUAAUAUUUAUUCUUAUAAAAAUAAUAUUCCAGAAUAUUUUUUUCAUUUUGGAAGUUAUAUUAUGAAGGAACUUAUAUUCCGUGACAAUGUAAAUGUGGAAUUUUUUGUUUAACAUAAUUUUGUCAAUGGAAUCAAUGCAAAUGUUUUAUCAAUAUACAAUAAACUUGCUUUUUUGUUUUCAGUGAACAAAAUUAAACUGUAUGCUAUAGAUUCAAUUUGGAACAAAGGAAGAUAACUCCAAUUAUAAUACUACCUACACAGUAAAUUCAGUAAAAAAGUCUCCCAUUGAUGUCAAUGCAGACCUAUCAUUUCAAUUAAAGUUAUACCUGGUUUACCUUUAGAAAUAUAUCAUUUAUGAAAGAUGACAGUAUAAAUGUAGCCCGAUCUUUUGCAACAAAUAAAACAUAACUAAGGGUCAAGUCAUUUUUUGGGCCAUUCACACUAAAUUCUUACACUGACCCCAUCACUCUUCAACACUGCAGUGAAAAGAUUAAGUAAAUUCAACAUUCAUUUUCAAUUCUUUUUUAAACCUAAUCUACCUUUCAAAAAAUAAAAUUUAAUACAAGCAUUUUCUACAAAUCAGUGGACCACAGAAGUUCAGUGUUAUAAAAGGCAAUUCUUAAUGACAUUUAUUUAUUUAACCUUUAAUAGCCUCAUUUUUUAAUAGAAAGAGACACACUUGUAACUGCCCAAUGUUCUGUAGACCCCAUCCAGACCCUCAUAAGAAAUAUUCAAGCAGACUUACAAUAAUUUUUAGAACUUACAAUUUUUCUCGCAAAACAUCAUCUUUGGAAACAAACAAGGGACGUCUGAUAAUUUCUCUAACUUUAUCUGUUUCAAGAUUAACCUGUACCAUUUUCAUAAAGUCUAUUUUGUACAUCAAAAAAUUAUUCUCCUUGGAAAACAAAUAGCUCUUCUGCUUUGUUUGAUAUUUCCUCUCAAGUGUGAACAGGAAUAAAUCCUAGAAAAAAAUACAUGUACAUAAAAUAUUUUAUCAGUGUACCUGUCCUUCUAAAUAUGUUUAUACUACUACUACUGGCCACUACUUGUGAACAAUGAUUCUAUUACGGUGACAUCUAAUUGCCUACAGAACUUCAGUCAAGAAAUAUUAAAUUCAAAUGAUUAAGUUUGAUUGAAUUUCAUAAAUUAAUAAAUUGUAAAAAACUAAAUGAGUUAUUUUGUCACUCGGUUUCUUCUGUCUCAUCAACAUAUAUCCCAACCCUUCUUUUAUUCAUAUAUGUAAGUUCAGGUUUAAAUAUAAUGUGUGAGGUUGCAAAACAUGAAAUAUAUCUUAUUUGGCUUGAUUAUAAUCAUAAUUUCACAAGGGGCCUAAAUGGCCAUUUGGUACAAGUAGUAACAGCAAUCACUAGCCUGUCAACACUGAGAAUAAAGUUGAAACACCACAGACGGCAGGUGAGUAUAGCUAUAUUCUUAAUAGAUUAGAAUUGCCAAUUUUCAAAAGCAGGUAAAAAUUGUGGUUCUGUCUGUCUGUCCUCCACCGAUAAAGUUUGGCAACCAUGAUAUAACCAAAAGCGCUGAAAUUGGCGCCAUGGGCUUUCCUAAUUGUUGAAGAUUGUACGGUGACCUAUAGGUGUUAAUUUCUGUGUUAUUUUGUCUCUUGUGACAAGUUGUCUCAUGGGCUAUCAUACCCCAUCUACUUUUAUAUAGUAGAUUAAAGCACCAACAAUCAAUAAAUAAUAAUGCUCCAUGUCUCUCCAUGGUUGUUCAGUCUGGACACUUCAGAUUCCUACAGCAAUGGAUUUUUGCCAAGAGUGCAGAAAUUUGUGUUAAAUACCCCUAUAACUGCUGACCGGGAAAUACAAAUGUCUUUUAAUUUUACUCAAUAGAACCCAGAAUUAAAAAACAUGCUUUUUGACAUAAAUCAAUCUUAUGUAUUAUAUAUUUCUGAAUAUGCAGUAUAUGAACACCAUCAAUAAAUUAAUUCUAUAAUGUCACAUGUCUCACCUUGUUGAACAUAAUCCACUUUUCAACAUCAUCUUUCCAAUACCAUCUCCACUGUGUAAGAUAACUAUUGACAGUCAUUUUCUUCUCAGCGAAAGAUGGAGUACAGAGACGUCUGACAGUUGACCACUGGUCAUCAUCAGCUGCUGGCUGACCAUUAACAUCUAAAAUAACUGCAUGCAUCUUUUGGAACCAAAUAUGACAGUUGUAUAUGUUGUCAUCGCAUUUCAUCUGAAAAAAAAUUGUCUUUCAAUCAGGUUAAAAAGUAAUCCAUUUGAAUAUAACAUCCUCCAGGAAAAAAAACAUACUAUUCAGUUUGCAAUUUAUGACACCUAUGAUGCCCCUGCUUGCAUAUAACCUUAUAAUGGGACAUAACUCAAGAACGAUUAAUGAUACUACCAAAAGGUGUACUUGAUUAGAGUGUUUGUGGUUAUAUUCAUGGUGUAUAAGCUCCAUAAAAUUUGGUUGAAGCAAACUUAAAUCAAAAAGGCGAAAACAAACAUUCAGCAAUUAUUCAAUUUGUAGAGAAGCAUAACUCUAGAACAUCAAAAGUGAUGCCACCAAAAUUCAAACUUGAUCUCUGUUUUGUUGUAAAACCAUUGUGUAUAAGAUUUGUAAUGUUUGGUUCUGGCAAACUGAAGAAAGACACACAAGAGAAUGGAAACAAAAAUUUUGCAAAUUUUCUGUUUGUAAAGGGGCAUAACUCUAUAAAGGUAUAAGUGUUUUGUGGUAAUAAGCAUUGUGUAUAAGUUUCAUAGCAUUUGGUUGAGGCAAGCAAAAGUUAAAGAAAUGAAACCAAUUUUAGGAUGUACGGAUAUACAGAUGGACAAGGGUAAAACAUAAAGCUCCUCCACUAAGGUAGGGCAUAAAAUAGCGAAAUGCAUACAUACAUUUACUAAUUAUAUAUUAACAUUUUCAUUUCAAAUACCAUGACCUUAUAUCCCGGUACAUGCACGACAUAUUUGCCACUGAACAUAAAGCAACAUUCAAUCAAUCAAUUUUCAAUUUCUAUUUUACCCAUUUGAAUCCAAACAAAUUAUGAUAUGUGUGGUUUUUUUUUUACAUAGGUUUUAGAAAUAAAUUCAGUUAAAAUGCAAGUGAUCCUGCUAAAAUAAUGGAAAAAAUUAUGCUAUUGAAACAUUUUAGCACUAAUAAUAUAUGGUAUCUAUACGGCAUGCAUGUGUAGAAUAAUUUGCCUAAUAUAAAAAAUGGGAGUUUAAAAAAACAAUUCAGUUAUACAAACUGUUUAAACUUACUUCUGUUGGUGCAACAUCUUGCAGAUCACAGAAAGAUUUUUCUAUUUUCUCAUUUUCCAAUAAUGAACACGAAAACCAUUUCCCAGAUAUCUUAAUCUGCCACAAGUACGGAAAGCCAGAUGGCAGGUGAUGUCUUUUACAGGAUGCAAAUGUACAUUUAUUUUUCGAAACAAAUACACAGAUUCUGGUACUUUCUGUUUCAUCUGUCAAUAAAGAAGAAUCAGUUUCUUGAUAAUCUGGAUCAGAUGGGGAUGGUGCUGAAUCUAAUUUCACAUCAUCCUGUUGUGGUAUAGAACUUCUUGCCUGUUGUUGAUUCCACUGUUCCAUUAGUAAUCUCUCUCUUUCAAUAAUAUUGUCGUCAUUAUUAUGUUUUUGUUGCUGUUCUUUUUUCCAAUUUUCCAUCUGAAUUCUCUCUUUCUCCUUUAUGUCAUCAUCAUCAAGUAAGUUUUGAUGGAUAUCUUUUGAGUUUUUAUCAUUGCCUUGUUUCUCACCUUUCUGGUUUUCCAUCAUUUUGUCCUCUUUUUCUUCUUCAUUACAUUGCUGUUGAUUCUUUUUUAAUGUGUCAUCCUCAUAGUCUUGCUGAACUUGUUCACUGUUUUCCAUAGUUAUCUUCUCUUCCUCAAUUAUUUUGUCAUCAUCUCCAUCACCAUCAUCAUUAGGGCCAUUAUCAUCACCAAUUUCAUUAUUAUUAUCAUUGUCUUCAGCAUUAUUUUCAUAAUCAUAAUCACCAUACUCAUGAUCAUAAUCUCCACCCUCAUUGACAUCAUAGUUAUAAUCAUUUUCAUCAUAAUCAUAAUCAUUGCCAUCAUAAUUAUCUUGAUAAUCAUCAUUAUCUCCAUAAUCAAAACCAUCAUCUAACUCAUUACCAUCACCAUUUCCUUGAUGAACCUGGGUCUGAUCUUCCGUUAAUAUCAUUUCUUUCUCUCCAGGACCACUUUCAACAUUCAUAUCACCAUUAUCAUCCUCGUCAUUACCAUCACCAUAAUAAUCAUAAUCAUCAUCAUCAUCAUCAUUAUCAUCACCAUUACCAUCACCAUAAUCAUCAUUACCGUCACCAUAAUUGUUAUAAUCAACUUUACGAUCACAAAAAUUCUCUGUAUCAACUUUAUUAUCACCGUAAUCAUCAUCAACGCUACCAUCACCAUAAUCAUCUUCAUCAUCAUAACUACUUUCUGUUUCAACCAUUUCUGUUAAAUCUUGAUCAUCUUUACCCACAAUUCCACAUGUGAUAUUUUCCAAUGAUCUAAACCUUUCUUUACGAUCAUGCGUUGACCUUGUCCCUUCCUUGUUGUAAUCAAUACUAAGGUUUUCAACUGAAUGUAAAUUUUUAUUUUUUGCAGGACCCGAUGCAGAACUAGAAAGACUUUCAUUGCUGACAUAGACAUCACUGUCAUAAUCAAAAACGCUAGACUCCUCAAGGUCAUGAAGGUCGUCUUCAUCAUGACUCAGGUCAGAAUCAUCUGAAUAAUUAUCAUUCUCUUUCUUUUCUCUAGCAGGUACAUAUAUAGCCUUGAGGACUUUAGCAGGAGGCCAGUCUUUCAUAUGACAUGAUGUAAGAACCCAUUUAUUGUGAAACUGAUUAAUGGUGUGUGUUCUAUUAAAUUUGCAAGGAUCUGGACAUUUUCCGAAUAUUUUCUGGCGACAUAAGUGUAAAUGAGGACAUUUUCUUUCUGGGUUAUCGACCUUACAACCAUUGUUGUAAAUAUAAUCUGCACAAACUGAAGGUGAAUUGCAAUUUAGGACAAUUUUCAUUUCAUCAUCACUAAAAUUGACAAUUCCAAGUUUGUUUUUCAAACGAUAAUUGUGAGGACCUCUAAAACUAUGAGACAGUGGACAAUCUUUCUCUUGACAGUUGCCUCUAAUGAAGCGACGACAGAUGUGAAAAUAAUCCCAAUGAGCAUUUUGACAUUCUGCAGGAUUUUUCUUGCUGUUCCACUCAGCACAAAUUUUAGCAUCUCUGUAAAAUGGUUGAAGAUAAACAAUAUCUUUUUUAUCCCAGAAAAUAUGAAAUCUUCUAUUGUUUUUUCUGAACCACAGCACAAUAUUGGAGCCCAAAGGAAAAAGGUCACACCUUUGUAAAAAGUCUUCAAAACUACAUCCUCCGCCAAAAGUUUUGAUCAUGAAUUUAAAUACUUCAUUUUCAUCCACGUCUGGUAUUUUGCCAUUUUGGUCCUCAUUAUCAUGUUCAUGUACCUGUUGACCAACUUUAUCUUUGCCGUCACCACGUCUACAAUCUUUUCCGAGUCUUCUUUUUAAUCUAGCUUCAGAUCUUUUAUUAUCACAAUUCUGUUGACCAUCACCUGUUAAUUAGUAAUUAAUACACAUGGAAAAUACUUACAAGUACUAUUUAUAGGUUGAAAAGUAUAUAAUCAGUACUGUGAUUAGUACUAAUUUUAGCCAGCAAUUUAUUUUCAAGACUUUCACAAGUAGAAAAAUAACCCCAAUAUAAAUAGCUGCAAAAUUUUAAUAAACUUGGACGGUUCCUAAUCUUACUUCAUUAAGUGAAUUUGAAAAUCACAAAAUCAAAUAGCCUCAAGGUGGACUAGAACAAAGGGUUAAACAUGUUAAACAUGAAAUAAAGUAUUCACAAAAAUAAGCGCUCAUGAAAAAAAAAGACACAUCUUUCAUGAAGUCUGCGUUAGGGGCUGUCUUUGAUACACUUGCAGUGAGGUGAAAGUGUUUUUCUCCAUGUUCAAGGCCUCACUGUGACUUUGAGAUGAAGAAUAGCAAUAAAAGCACUGUUCCUUUAUGUUUUGUAUGUAUUUUUCGUUGUCCAUGUGAUGAUUUUGUGUCAUAGGGUCUCCAUAUCCUUUGUUUUCCAUUACAUAAUGUUUUGUUUACCUUUUUGUAUAUUGAUUCCUGUCUGUGAUACAGGCCCAGGCAACAAAACUUGAGGCUGUGACUCUUGAGGAGGUGGAGUCUGAGUCAACUGAGUAACAGGAACUGGCACAUAUACAUCUGUAUUAAACAAAACAUACUUGUUCAUGUUAUUAUAGAUAUCUAUUUCAGUUCUUAUAAUACAUAUAAAAUACCAAAAGUAUCUACAUUGUAUCAUGCAUAUUUAUUACAGUCAUGAUUUGACUCAAUUGAAAUAUAAUUUAUUCUUAAAUUUCUAGCAUUUGCCAUCUUCAAAUAAUAUAGAACAUGUAGAAGUAGCUAUAUAGGCAACUAAGAUAUAAAGUGCACUGUACAGCUUACAACAAUGAACAACCAGAUGCUCCGCAGGGCGUAGCUUUAUAUGACCGCAGAGGUUGAACCCUGAACGGUUGGGGCAAGUAUGGACACAACAUUCAAGCUGGAUUCAGCUCUAAAUUUGGAUUGUGAUUAAAUAGUUGACACAGCAUAGGUUUCUGACACAGAAUGAAUGUGUUCUAAUGAACUUAAAAUUUUUGUUUUCUCUUAGAGCAAUUCACUAUGCUGUUGAAUAUUAAUCCUCUCAAAAAAAUGUUUGAAGAAAUUUUCUUUUUUAUUUAUGAAAUUUCAAAUGA